GCGCCGGUUGCCAAACAGCGGCAGGGAUGGCGAGCCGCGGGGCCGAGGUGGUGACGAUAGCAGCAGUUCCGCCAUUGGACGAGGAGGCCUGAGGGACGGGCCAGCGUGGUGAACAAGGAGAGACCGAGGCGGGUGGCCCCGAGAGAGCGAGGGCAAUGGAGGCCAACAUGCCGAAGCGGAAGGAGGCUGCCAAGUCCCUGCGCAUCAAAGUCAUCUCCAUGGGCAACGCCGAAGUGGGAAAAAGCUGUAUUAUAAAGCGAUAUUGUGAGAAAAGAUUUGUGUCUAAAUAUCUUGCAACAAUUGGAAUUGACUAUGGAGUCACAAAGGUACAAGUCAGAGACCGAGAAAUCAAAGUUAACAUCUUUGAUAUGGCUGGACAUCCCUUCUUCUACGAGGUUCGUAAUGAGUUUUACAAGGACACACAGGGUGUGAUACUGGUCUAUGACGUUGGGCAGAAAGACUCCUUUGACGCCCUUGAUGCAUGGCUGGCAGAAAUGAAGCAAGACCUUGGACCUCAUGGAAACAUGGAAAAUAUUGUAUUUGUAGUGUGUGCCAACAAGAUCGAUUGUACCAAGCACCGCUGUGUUGAUGAAAGUGAGGGGCGUCUUUGGGCCGAAAGCAAAGGGUUCCUGUACUUUGAAACUUCAGCACAAACUGGAGAAGGAAUUAACGAGAUGUUCCAGACCUUUUAUGUAUCCAUAGUUGAUUUAUGUGAAAAUGGCGGGAAACGUCCUAUCACGAAUAGCAGUGCUAGUUUCACCAAAGAACAAGCAGACACCAUUCGCAGAAUUCGAAAUAGUAAAGAUAGUUGGGACAUGUUGGCAGUCAAACCUGGAGCCUCAAGGGAUGAAGUCAAUAAAGCAUAUCGGAAGCUUGCUGUGCUGCUUCACCCUGACAAAUGUGUAGCGCCCGGUAGUGAAGAUGCCUUCAAAGCAGUCGUGAAUGCCCGGACAGCCCUCCUGAAAAACAUCAAGUAGAAAGUAGAAAACAAGACAAGUGCUGGCCUCAAGUACAAACAGACUUUCCCUAGAGGUAAUCUCAGGAGGCGCUGGAAUGUCACUCGCUUCUCCGCUCGCUCCAUCUAGCUCACUCUGCGUCUGCCAACGUUUUCAUGAAAGUUUUUAAAAAGGAAUUCAGCUGCAACAUAUAGCUAAUCACCUUCCAUUGCAAGUUUUGCAAAGUGAAGAGAGGUUCAGGCUUUUCAUGAUGGAUAUUUAGCACAAUUGUAAGACAUAUUAAUUCUGUUUGUACAUUGGUUUUUUCCAUUAAACAUUUCUAGAGAAGAUAGAAGCUUAAACUUGUGGUGUAAGUUAGAUUGUGUCUAACAAGCAGUGCAAUAGUAAGCUGUGCACUAAAGGCCUUGUUGGUGAAAUAACUUGGAAGGUUGGACAGUUUGGGUUAGCUUCCUGCAUUGAUUGCUCUCGGGGCAUUCUUCCCCUUGGCCUAUGAAUGCAGAGUUUCUAAAGAAACCCUUUGCUCUUACGAGGUAAUUUGCGUAUUUGCUUUCUGUUGAAAUAACUGAAAAUGUUAAAUCUAACAAUUGUUUAUGUCUUGUAUAGAGAGUGUCAUAUGUAUUUAAGUUGUGUAUUUUUAUAAAGUAAAGCCAAAUAUCAAACA
Ceratotherium simum simum (southern white rhinoceros) is the source of this 1617-nucleotide non-coding RNA. The record is from RefSeq and is a predicted model, not a curated record. Lineage: Eukaryota; Metazoa; Chordata; Mammalia; Perissodactyla; Rhinocerotidae.